RNAcentral lists this non-coding RNA (124 nucleotides) under Triticum urartu. RNAcentral's name for it is "Bacterial large subunit ribosomal RNA". It matches the Rfam family "Bacterial large subunit ribosomal RNA", at positions 1868 to 2000 of the family's 2925-position model. Lineage: Eukaryota; Viridiplantae; Streptophyta; Magnoliopsida; Poales; Poaceae. The record is from Rfam by way of RNAcentral.
GCUAACGCGAUAGAAGAAAUGUUUCUUCUAUCUAAAAUAUUAGAAAGAAUUUUGCUGCUGUAACUAUGACGGUCCUAAGGUAGCAAAAUUCCUUGUCGGGUAAGUUCCGACCCGCACGAAAGGC